Molecule: long non-coding RNA, 1034 nt
Filed under: Coturnix japonica (Japanese quail)
Lineage: Eukaryota; Metazoa; Chordata; Aves; Galliformes; Phasianidae
Description: lncRNA (ENSCJPG00005006248.1)
Source: RNAcentral
GUGGUGGUGAUAGUUCUAGAAUUGAAAUUCCUAAGUCACAGAAGAAAAGCCUCAAACAAAAAAAACCAACAGGUGCAAAUCUGAGCAGAGGAGAAUGUGGAGAGUUGUUGAAACAAGAUGUCUCAGAUUCACCAAUUGAAUCAUCCCUGUACACUUACUUUUGUGCUUGAGGGAAAUGCUGCCCAUAGAUUUUCCUCAUAUCUAUUUAGGCCCAGGUUUUCACUUUCUUGUUUUAGUGUUUCAUGGAAUUUAUUAUGUACCUCUUUGCACUGCCCUUCUUCCUCUUCCACCAAUUCAUCUUCCUCAAGGUUGCCUGAAUCUGAGACAUCUUGUUUCAACAACUCUCCACAUUCUCCUCUGCUCAGAUUUGCACUGCCCUUCUUCCUCUUCCACCAAUUCAUCUUCCUCAAGGUUGCCUGAAUAAGAGUUUGUUAAGGGUAAUACAGGUAAGCGACAGUAAACUGUUUUCCUGUUAAUACUUAAUCACGUAUCUGUAUUCAAUCAUUGUAUUUUGAUACUGAAAACAUCUUGUUCAUAGCCAAACUCAGACAUUAUUUUCAAUAUUUUUAUUAUGAGAUUGGAGAGUUUUGGAAGGAGAAAGACAGGAAACUUCAUUCUUUCUGGAAUCUGUGCACUUUCUGUUAUGUAAAACUGAGGGAAUGGAUAAUAUCCAUUAGAAGUUGUAGCCAUUUAGUAGAAUUCAUGAGGUAAUGACUGGAAAUGAAGAAACAAAAGGAAGUUUUGAAUGAAAUUGAGGGCAGGAAACUAGUGAAAUUGUGAGAUAUGUAGGCAGAAAGAAGACUUUCUGAAUAAUAUCAAUGAAACUGCAUUUAGAUUGACACAAGGAAGUGCUUCUCAGAGGUUUUGCAUAGCCAGAGAUGAAGUUUACAACAUGAGGCACUGCAGUUUAAUUGUGCAGAUUCCCACUAAAAAUUGUAGGCCUUUAGAAACCAUGUUGCACUUUGCUUCAUUUAAGUCUUACCCAAGAAAACCGUUUUCCAAGUUGUUAAUGGGUGGUGAAGUAGAUAUUGAUU